UACGGAGGGGGCUAGCGUUGUUCGGAAUUACUGGGCGUAAAGCGCGCGUAGGCGGACCUGCAAGUCCGGGGUGAAAGCCCGAGGCUCAACCUCGGAACUGCCUUCGAUACUGCGGGUCUCGAGUCCGGGAGAGGUGAGUGGAACUGCGAGUGUAGAGGUGAAAUUCGUAGAUAUUCGCAAGAACACCAGUGGCGAAGGCGGCUCACUGGCCCGGUACUGACGCUGAGGUGCGAAAGCGUGGGGAGCAAACAGG
This 253-nucleotide ribosomal RNA is filed under the name uncultured bacterium. RNAcentral's name for it is "partial 16S ribosomal RNA". It matches the Rfam family "Bacterial small subunit ribosomal RNA", at positions 524 to 776 of the family's 1533-position model. The record is from RNAcentral.